CAGGGCUCGGAAUCCGAUCGGCUCUGGAAUAAUCGUCCCGCCCGGCCUCCUUCCUCGGACACCUCCUUCCCCAAAGGGGUCCUGGUCGUCAGCCUGGGGAGGCUCCCGGCCCCCUGGAGUCCUGGGCUUUCCCGUGAGCCUGCGGGAACCGGGGCCGUCUCUGCAGUUGGCGAGCAUCGGUGGAGACGCUCCCAGGAAUUCAUCAUGAGUGAGUCACGCAUCGGUCCACAGCACUGUUUGUAGCAUAUGAUACUCAUCACGGCGUUCUUUAUAAUAAAGAGCUGGAAACAACGAGACGUGGGGUGGCAGGGGCUUGCUUAAUUUUCUGCGCGGCUCGUGUAUUCACUGCCGUAAUUGUGUUAACAAUUGUACUGAAGCUCCUGACGGCCUCCUCUCUACACUGCUGCUGGAAUGAUGCCUCGAAGGCCCAGGGGGACCCCAACCGCACUCAGUCACCUCUGAGGGGCCUCCAGUCCUCCAGGGGAAUUGUGGAGGCCUAUAGAGCCUGGCCGGCUAAGAUUUAAGGCAGGAAUGUUUGUAGCCCGGGAGACGGCUGGCUGGCUGAGAAGCAGCAAAGCAGACCAGGAAAACGGGUCUCCUUUGAAAGGUCAAGGCUGGAAGCAGCCUGUGGGUCAACAUGUUUUCUCACCCUGUAAAUGCUUAAUCAAAAGCAGUAAAACAGCCCCCUUCCUGUGACGUAUACACCGCCCCGUCACGUUCCCCUCGCUGUCUGCACAUCACUACCCUGAUCUCACUGUUGCCCUGGAUCACUUAGGAGUAUGCUUUGUCCCUGCUUUUGAAACUGCGCGUCCCUUUCCCCUGCACCCCUUGAAACGUACUGGUAAGAUUCUCGGCAAAAACCGUAGAAGAGCUUUGCUCGGGGCGUCACCCCUAGAGCGCUUGGCCCCCUCGCCCUCUCCUUUCUCUGCUUCAGGGGUCUGGAGUAAUCUGUCACCCGCCGCCCCAGGGUUUGCUGGUCAACCCGGCAGGGAAUCCUCCUCGUCCCGCUCCCCGUGUGUCCCCCGCCACAGCCCCGCCAUUACCUGCAGC
This is a long non-coding RNA of Leopardus geoffroyi (Geoffroy's cat), 1050 nucleotides long. RefSeq lists it as uncharacterized. The transcript is spliced from 3 exons. The record is from RefSeq and is a predicted model, not a curated record. NCBI's taxonomy places the organism in Eukaryota, Metazoa, Chordata, Mammalia, Carnivora, Felidae.